This 222-nucleotide ribosomal RNA is filed under the name uncultured bacterium. RNAcentral's name for it is "partial 16S ribosomal RNA". It matches the Rfam family "Bacterial small subunit ribosomal RNA", at positions 111 to 334 of the family's 1533-position model. The record is from RNAcentral.
UAACACGUGGGAAAUCUGUCCUGCACUCUGGGACAAGCCUUGGAAACGAGGUCUAAUACCGGAUAUGACCGUGGAGCGCAUGCUCUGUGGUGGAAAGCUCCGGCGGUGCAGGAUGAUCCCGCGGCCUAUCAGCUUGUUGGUGGGGUAAUGGCCUACCAAGGCGACGACGGGUAGCCGGCCUGAGAGGGCGACCGGCCACACUGGGACUGAGACACGGUCCAG